This is a non-coding RNA of Xenopus tropicalis (tropical clawed frog), 88 nucleotides long. NCBI's taxonomy places the organism in Eukaryota, Metazoa, Chordata, Amphibia, Anura, Pipidae. The record is from Rfam.
GCUGUCUGGUUGCGGCUGGUGAAAAGGAACCACAUCAACCCAGAAAAAGGAUUUGGUCCCCUUCAACCAGCCGCAACUGGUCAGGAUU